GAAGUUUUGUGAAUUAUUGAAAUAACCGCCAGGGUUUAGCUGUACAAUUUAUUAUUGAUUUGCGAUGUUGUAAGCGACAAUUUCCAACGACGAUUCGUAACGCAACGUGUUGCCCAACCAAUCAAAUUUCGUGUGACGUCAUUUGUAGAGUCCUUUACAACCAACUCAUCUGUAAUACAGUAAUAGCUUGUUGUAAUAACAUUGAUAUUGUAAUGUUUUUAAAUAUACUGGAACAAAACCAAUUCAACGUCCUGAAAUGAGAGCAUAGUACAAAACAUGGACUGGAC
This is a non-coding RNA of Paramuricea clavata, 287 nucleotides long. The record is from the annotation of a GenBank genome assembly. NCBI's taxonomy places the organism in Eukaryota, Metazoa, Cnidaria, Anthozoa, Malacalcyonacea, Plexauridae.